This is a non-coding RNA of Oryctolagus cuniculus (rabbit), 1237 nucleotides long. NCBI's taxonomy places the organism in Eukaryota, Metazoa, Chordata, Mammalia, Lagomorpha, Leporidae. The record is from RefSeq and is a predicted model, not a curated record.
UCUUACCUUAGACAAGGCCACAGUCAAAGUGGAAGUUCUGUCCUCCCUUCAAAGAAUGGUACCUCCUACUUUGAAGGCUCGUUCUUGAUAUGGAAGAAACUUAAAGAGACUGGGCCUCAAGGAAGGUAAUUGAGUCAUCAGGACAUCAUCUUGGCAGGUGGAGUAAGAUCUGUGAGUUACAAACAGAGCCACUGAAUCUCUGGCUCCUCUUGUUAUGUGACCUCAUCAAUGUGUGCUCCACCACCACGAUGCCACCCACAAGGAGGCUCUCUCCAGAGACUGAACACAUGAGGCCACCCAACCUUGGACUUUCAGCCUCCAAAAGUGACAAGGAGUAUUCUGUACUUGUUCCUGGAGUAUACCUUGUGUACACUGUGGCCAAUCAACUGUGAGAACAUGUACAGGCUAACUUGUUGGAGGGAUGUUAAGGGAACAUGGACUCAAGCCCAGGAAAUCUAAGACAAACCAACUGCAUCUCAUUCCCAAACAUGCCGGAGAGCUCAGUCAAGAUCAGCAAAGCCACAUGUCCAACGGCAGUUCACCGCAGAUGAAUGAGAGAAUCUACAUAAAACCAGAAGAACCGCCAAGUCAAUCUGAAGGCUCAUGAACAAUAUAGUACAUGAUUUAUUACAUAUUGCUACAUAGCAAUAACUAACAAAUGCAAUGGGUAACUAUGAGAAAUAAAUAAUACACAUAGUAACCAUUUAAGUUUUAAACUAAGUUUCAUCCUCUUCCUGGUCCUUAUCUUGUCUCCUAUCACACAAACACUGCGUGCUGGGAACCUGUCACCCAGCUGGAACACUCCCUUCCCAUUGCUCACUCCUUGGGAAUCUUUUCUACAAAAAAACUGCAGGCAUCAUUGACAUUUAGGUCAGGGAUUGUCUGUUUUCUGUGCCAGAGUUUCGGUAAAAUUUGCUCUAGGAUUCCCAAGUAAAAUCUCAAGACCCAUGUUUCUUUGGGAACAAUGUUAAAUGUGAUGGCAGUAUACAAUGUGGUAUGAGAAUGUGCCUUCAGUUGAAGAGGGGUUGCCUGAGUGCUCAUAAGCUGACAAAAAUACCAUUACCACACACACACACACACACACACACACAGCCCUGAUUCUGGUCAGCCUGCCAGCCACUACUCUUCCAGAAUACAAAGAAAUCAUUUGGAGGACAACCUGUAGUAACGUCUUUAAGUCUCUGAAACCAAGAGUCAUAAAACCAUCCGUAGCAGGAAGCAUUCAACAUCCAUUACA